This 425-nucleotide ribosomal RNA is filed under the name uncultured bacterium. Its description in RNAcentral is "bacterial SSU rRNA". It matches the Rfam family "Bacterial small subunit ribosomal RNA", at positions 356 to 773 of the family's 1533-position model. The record is from RNAcentral.
GGGGAAUAUUGGACAAUGGGCGAAAGCCUGAUCCAGCCAUGCCGCGUGUGUGAAGAAGGUCUUCGGAUUGUAAAGCACUUUAAGUUGGGAGGAAGGGUAGUAACCUAAUACGUUGCUACUUUGACGUUACCGACAGAAUAAGCACCGGCUAACUUCGUGCCAGCAGCCGCGGUAAUACGAAGGGUGCAAGCGUUAAUCGGAAUUACUGGGCGUAAAGCGCGCGUAGGUGGUUCAGCAAGUUGGAUGUGAAAGCCCUGGGCUCAACCUGGGAACUGCAUCCAAAACUACUGAGCUAGAGUACGGUAGAGGGUAGUGGAAUUUCCUGUGUAGCGGUGAAAUGCGUAGAUAUAGGAAGGAACACCAGUGGCGAAGGCGACUACCUGGACUGAUACUGACACUGAGGUGCGAAAGCGUGGGGAGCAAAC